UCAGUAACCUCUGGCAGGUCCUGGUGUUGUACAGAAAAACCAGGCCUGUCUUCUGCAGAGGCUUUAG
Non-coding RNA from Pelobates cultripes (western spadefoot toad), 67 nucleotides. The record is from the annotation of a GenBank genome assembly. NCBI's taxonomy places the organism in Eukaryota, Metazoa, Chordata, Amphibia, Anura, Pelobatidae.